UGGCGAACGGGUGAGUAACACGUGGGCAAUCUGCCCUUCACUCUGGGACAAGCCCUGGAAACGGGGUCUAAUACCGGAUACGACACGGGGUCGCAUGAUCUCCGUGUGGAAAGCUCCGGCGGUGAAGGAUGAGCCCGCGGCCUAUCAGCUAGUUGGUGAGGUGAUGGCUCACCAAGGCGACGACGGGUAGCCGGCCUGAGAGGGCGACCGGCCACACUGGGACUGAGACACGGCCCAGACUCCUACGGGAGGCAGCAGUGGGGAAUAUUGCACAAUGGGCGAAAGCCUGAUGCAGCGACGCCGCGUGAGGGAUGACGGCCUUCGGGUUGUAAACCUCUUUCAGCAGGGAAGAAGCGAAAGUGACGGUACCUGCAGAAGAAGCGCCGGCUAACUACGUGCCAGCAGCCGCGGUAAUACGUAGGGCGCAAGCGUUGUCCGGAAUUAUUGGGCGUAAAGAGCUCGUAGGCGGCUUGUCACGUCGGUUGUGAAAGCCCGGGGCUUAACCCCGGGUCUGCAGUCGAUACGGGCAGGCUAGAGUGUGGUAGGGGAGAUCGGAAUUCCUGGUGUAGCGGUGAAAUGCGCAGAUAUCAGGAGGAACACCGGUGGCGAAGGCGGAUCUCUGGGCCAUUACUGACGCUGAGGAGCGAAAGCGUGGGGAGCGAACAGGAUUAGAUACCCUGGUAGUCCACGCCGUAAACGGUGGGAACUAGGUGUUGGCGACAUUCCACGUCGUCGGUGCCGCAGCUAACG
Molecule: ribosomal RNA, 750 nt
Filed under: Streptomyces dengpaensis
Lineage: Bacteria; Bacillati; Actinomycetota; Actinomycetes; Kitasatosporales; Streptomycetaceae
Description: bacterial SSU rRNA
Rfam family: Bacterial small subunit ribosomal RNA
Source: RNAcentral